RNAcentral lists this long non-coding RNA (2302 nucleotides) under Sus scrofa (pig). RNAcentral's name for it is "lncRNA (ENSSSCG00060026797.1)". The record is from RNAcentral. Lineage: Eukaryota; Metazoa; Chordata; Mammalia; Artiodactyla; Suidae.
UUGGCCACAGUCACACAGACAUUAAGUGACAGACUCAGGAUAACACAGGUCAGAGAAGUGUCAAGCAGGGAGGAAGCAGUGCUAAUCUUCACACUUGGGUCCUAAACUUACCACAAAGAUAUUUCCUGCGUUUCUACCCCAUAGCGGAGCAAACAGAGAAGGUGUUAAAGGAAACAACAUGAAGCUUUGGCCCUUAAAUUUCAACCCAACAUUGUGAAUGCAAUUUUGUGUUUUGUGAAUAGGACUUCAAAAGAAUAAAUCAAGACUUCCUCUCCUCAUCCUUCUGGAGGGGGACAGCCAAGCCAGAAAAAAGAAACAGAAUCUUCCCACAAAGUUCGAAGGAAACCUAUACCUGCACAGCUGUGGAUAGUCCUGGUUUAACUUAUUUUUGUUUCUCACACAUAUUUUUUUGUUUGUUUUUUUGUCUUUUUGCCAUUUCUUGGGCUGCUCCCGUGGCAUAUGGAGGUUCCCAGGCUAGGGGUCGAAUCGGAGCUGUAGCUGCUGGCUUACACAGAGCCACAGCAACUUGGGAUCCGAGCCAUGUCUGCAACCUACACCACAGCUCACGGCAACGCUGGAUCCUUAACCCACUGAGCAAGGGCAGGGAUCGAACCCGCAACCUCAUGGUUUCUAGUUGGAGUCAUUAACCACUGAACCACGACGGGAAUUCCUGUUUCUCACACAUAUUAAGUUAAUCAGCCAAAGGUAGUUUUCCCAACACUUACCAUUCAGCCUCCCACCAACUUGAACUUGACCAACAAUUCAACAAUCGUUUUAUUUUUGCAAAAGGAAAACUAGAAGAUUUUAAGAAGAGAAGGAAAGGAGGAGGAGAUGCAAAGAUAAGAGAAAGCAGUGGAGGGAAAGGGAGAGCGGAGAGGACAGAGCGGAACCGAAUAUUUUCUGCACGGCUCAGGGAAGAGCCUCAAGCCUGCCCGACCGACCUGCACAUUCUGGGGAUCCCAGAAUAAGAUCAACGGUGGGUGACCCUGCACUCCCUCCAAACACCUUUCUGAGAACACCUCCCACAACGUGUCAACACAAAUGCAAUUCCACAUUCCUGCUUGUAAAUAUUUUCCCCUAGCUAUAAAUGAAAGCUGUGAUGCCACAGAUCUCUCACAGCUUAGCAUUCUUUAUGAGAUGUAUAAAUAGGACCUGCCUCGCGAUUGAAGAGCUUCUAUCCUGGCAGAAUCGGUUUUAUACUAUGGGCGAGCACACAUUUCCAUAAUUCAAUUCAACAAAUACUGAUUGAAUAUACAUAGUAUUAUGUAAAUAUGUAUCAAUACAUAUGAGAAGUACAUGAAGAGAAGCUGGUCAGAAGCAGGCACUGUGCAGGAGCCCCUCCAGCUGCUCCCCGCAUUUCCUGCAGCGGGACUGGUGGCCUGACUUGGGGAACAGAUGCUAUUGCAGUGUCUGGGCAUUAUUCUCCCAGCCCUCCCCUGGGCCCUGCCCUGAUCCCACAGUGCAGUGGGUAAAUAAAAUCUGUGCUCCUGCAUUAAAUCAACAUGCAUCCCCUCCCACCGAAAUACUUUUAAGAUGCAGAAAUUGCAUCUUUAUUUCCAAAUACACUUGUUAAGAAAGACUCUUCAAGAGAUUGGGAGGAUCAGGGGAAAGGUUAGCGUCUUUUGAGGAAGGAAGAAAAGGUUUUGAGGUGUGUUCUGUUAUUUGAAUACUUUUCAGAUAUUAGCAAAUAAAGUUCUAGAUUCAACAACUUUUGCAGAGAAAAAGACAUCCCAUAAAUAUAUGUAUUUCUGAAUCUAUGUGGAAAGAAAAAUUAAAACUACUCUACAUGAGCCUGCUCAAGUGGCCAUAACAAAAUACCACCGACUGGCUGGCUUACCCAACAGAAAUGUGUGUUCUUACAGUUGGGGAGCCUGGAAGUCCAAAAUCAAGGGGUCAGCAGAGUUAGUUUCUGGUGCAAACUCUCUUUCCGGUUUGCAAGUGGCCACCUUCUCACUGUGUCCUCACGUGGUGUUCACUCUAUGUGCUCACAGAGAAAGAGAAGUUUCUAUUGGAUUAAUGUCCCAUCGUUACAACCGCAUUUAACUUAAUUAUGUCCUUGAAGGCCCUCUCUCCAAAUAGUCACACCAGCCAUUAGAACUUUACCAAAAAAAAUUGGGGAGGUCUCAGUUCAGUCUCUAACAUGCUCUUAAGUGCUUUCAACUAAAAAUAUUGUUUUGGAGUUCCCGUUGUGGCUCAGCAGAAAUGAAUCUGACUAGCAUCCAGGAGGAUACAAGUUUGAUUGCUGGCAUCACUCAGUGGGUUAAGGGUGCAGCAUCGCCGUGAGCUGUGACGGAGGUUACAG